UACGGAGGUGGCAAGCGUUGUUCGGAAUUACUGGGCGUAAAGGGCGCGUAGGCGGCUUGGCAAGUCAGAUGUGAAAGCCCCGGGCUUAACCCGGGAAUUGCAUCUGAAACUGCUUUGCUUGAGUCCUGGAUGGGAUAGUGGAAUUCCCAGUGUAGCGGUGAAAUGCGUAGAUAUUGGGAGGAACACCUGCGGCGAAGGCGGCUAUCUGGACAGUGACUGACGCUGAGGCGCGAAAGCUAGGGGAGCGAACGGG
RNAcentral lists this ribosomal RNA (253 nucleotides) under uncultured bacterium. RNAcentral describes it as "partial 16S ribosomal RNA". It matches the Rfam family "Bacterial small subunit ribosomal RNA", at positions 524 to 776 of the family's 1533-position model. The record is from RNAcentral.